GAUGAACGCUAGCGGCAGGCUUAACACAUGCAAGUCGAGGGGCAGCAUGAGACGGAGAUUCGUCAAAGUCUUGAUGGCGACCGGCGCAAGGGUGCGUAACGCGUGAGCAACUUGCCCGUUUCUGGGGGAAUAACCGGUGGAAACGCCGACUAAUACCCCAUAGUAUAGACGAAAGGCAUCUUUUGUUAUUAAAGAAAUUUCGGAAACGGAUAGGCUCGCGUGACAUUAGCUAGAUGGCGGGGUAACGGCCCACCAUGGCGACGAUGUCUAGGGGUUCUGAGAGGAAGGUCCCCCACACUGGAACUGAGACACGGUCCAGACUCCUACGGGAGGCAGCAGUGAGGAAUAUUGGUCAAUGGGCGGGAGCCUGAACCAGCCAAGUAGCGUGAAGGAUGACUGCCCUACGGGUUGUAAACUUCUUUUGUUUGGGAAUAAAAGACGCUACGUGUAGCGUUGUGCAUGUACCUUACGAUAAGCAUCGGCUAAUUCCGUG
RNAcentral lists this ribosomal RNA (493 nucleotides) under uncultured bacterium. RNAcentral's name for it is "bacterial SSU rRNA". It matches the Rfam family "Bacterial small subunit ribosomal RNA", at positions 28 to 507 of the family's 1533-position model. The record is from RNAcentral.